This is a non-coding RNA of Chelonoidis abingdonii (Abingdon island giant tortoise), 1838 nucleotides long. Lineage: Eukaryota; Metazoa; Chordata; Testudines; Testudinidae. The record is from RefSeq and is a predicted model, not a curated record.
CUGCGGCAGCUCGCGCCGCGUUCAGCCGGUCGUGCGCGCUCUGUCUCCAUGGCGACCCGCGGCGGGGCGGCGGCCGGGAGGCCCUACGAGCUGGUGGUGUUCGGGGCCUCGGGCUUCACGGGCCACUUCGUGGCGGAGGAGGUGGCGCGGGUGGCGGCCGGGGCUGAACUGCGGGGCUCGCUGCGCUGGGCCGUGGCCGGCAGGAGUCGGGACAAGCUGCAAGGGGUGUUGGACAGGGCGGCGGAGAGGCUGGGAAAGCCAGAGCUAAAGUCAGAAGUUGGCAUAAUACUAUGUGAUGUCAGUGACCCAUCCUCCCUUGCUGAUAUGGCUAAACAGGCAGAUGUUGUUCUCAACUGUGUGGGCCCAUACAGGUUUUUUGGAGAACCUGUAGUGAAAGCUUGUGUUGAGAAUGGCACAAGUUGCGUUGACAUCAGUGGAGAACCUCAGUUUCUGGAAGGAAUGUAUCUGAAAUACAAUGAUAAAGCUGCAGAAAAGGGGGUAUAUGUCGUUGGAAGCUGUGGCUUUGACUCUAUUCCAGCAGAUAUGGGAGUCUUAUACACCAGAGACAAUUUGAAAGGUAACCUAACUGCAGUUGAAAGUUUCCUGACUGUGAAAUCUGGACCUGAGGGUUACAGUAUCCAUGAUGGAACCUGGAAGUCAGCUAUUCAUGGCCUUGCAGAUCAAGAUAAUUUGAGGAAGCUUCGGAAGCAGAUAGGACACAAACCUCUCCCAAUCAUUGGUGCAAAACAAAAAAGAAGAGGACUAGUGUUUUACAGUCAGGAAUUCAAAGAGUAUUGCAUUCCAUUCAUGGGAUCAGACGUCUCUGUUGUGAAACGAACUCAACGGUACUUGCACACACAUUUGCAAGAAACACCUGUGCAGUAUGCAGCUUAUGCAACGGUGGGUGGUAUUGCAUCUGUUAUUAAGCUGAUGUUUGCUGGCCUUUUAUUUUUUCUUCUCGUGAAGUUUAGCUUCGGAAGAAAUCUCCUGACAAAAUACCCAGAACUUUUCUCUUGUGGACGUUUUACAAAGAAAGGACCAACACAAAAGCAGAUAGAUGGAUCAUCUUUUACAAUGACAUUUUUUGGUGAAGGGUACUGCGAGGGCCAAGAUCCACAACAGGGCAAACCAAAUGUAAAAAUCUGCACCCAAGUGAAAGGACCAGAUGCUGGCUAUGUUGCUACAGCAAUAGCAAUGGUUCAGGCAGGUGUAGCACUGCUAAAGGAUGCAAGUUCUCUUCCUGAACAAGGUGGCGUAUAUACUCCAGGAGCUGCUUUCUCUAAAACAAAACUGAUUGAUCAGCUGAACAAACGUGGCAUUGAAUUCUCUGUUAUUAGCAAGUCAGAAGCCUGAAGUUUCAAAAUAAUUCCACAAACUAAUGUACCAAAAGCUUCUUCAGAUGUAAAAACCUAAUAAAUAUUUACAAAUGAGUUGUAUUAUUGCUAACAAUGGCAUUAAAAAAGGAUUAUAGCAUUUUGUGUAGGCAUUAGUGAACUAGCUGCUGCAGAGAGAUACCACCACCUCAUGCUUUAGGAGUAUUAGAGGAAAUUACUGCUUCAGCUUCUAUUUAGAUGCCAAAAAUUAACCUCUUUCAGCUCAUAUUUAUAUAAAAUUAUAAUGGGAUGCAUGUGUGUGUUUCAGGUCUGAUCCUCUAUAGAACUUUACUAGGUAUUGGAACUCCAGAAUGGUGGUAGAUUGGGGCAGUAGGUUCUAAACAUCAAGUUGUCAGUCAAGGGAUUUACAAAAUGACCUCAUUUACCAUAGAAGGGUCUGGAUACCAAGUGCCUUAGCUAAUCAAGCCAUUACUUAUGACUAUUUAGAGGAAGGGACCACUUGUU